Molecule: ribosomal RNA, 1162 nt
Filed under: Escherichia coli
Lineage: Bacteria; Pseudomonadati; Pseudomonadota; Gammaproteobacteria; Enterobacterales; Enterobacteriaceae
Description: partial 23S ribosomal RNA
Rfam family: Bacterial large subunit ribosomal RNA
Source: RNAcentral
CUCGAUGAGUAGGGCGGGACACGUGGUAUCCUGUCUGAAUAUGGGGGGACCAUCCUCCAAGGCUAAAUACUCCUGACUGACCGAUAGUGAACCAGUACCGUGAGGGAAAGGCGAAAAGAACCCCGGCGAGGGGAGUGAAAAAGAACCUGAAACCGUGUACGUACAAGCAGUGGGAGCACGCUUAGGCGUGUGACUGCGUACCUUUUGUAUAAUGGGUCAGCGACUUAUAUUCUGUAGCAAGGUUAACCGAAUAGGGGAGCCGAAGGGAAACCGAGUCUUAACUGGGCGUUAAGUUGCAGGGUAUAGACCCGAAACCCGGUGAUCUAGCCAUGGGCAGGUUGAAGGUUGGGUAACACUAACUGGAGGACCGAACCGACUAAUGUUGAAAAAUUAGCGGAUGACUUGUGGCUGGGGGUGAAAGGCCAAUCAAACCGGGAGAUAGCUGGUUCUCCCCGAAAGCUAUUUAGGUAGCGCCUCGUGAAUUCAUCUCCGGGGGUAGAGCACUGUUUCGGCAAGGGGGUCAUCCCGACUUACCAACCCGAUGCAAACUGCGAAUACCGGAGAAUGUUAUCACGGGAGACACACGGCGGGUGCUAACGUCCGUCGUGAAGAGGGAAACAACCCAGACCGCCAGCUAAGGUCCCAAAGUCAUGGUUAAGUGGGAAACGAUGUGGGAAGGCCCAGACAGCCAGGAUGUUGGCUUAGAAGCAGCCAUCAUUUAAAGAAAGCGUAAUAGCUCACUGGUCGAGUCGGCCUGCGCGGAAGAUGUAACGGGGCUAAACCAUGCACCGAAGCUGCGGCAGCGACGCUGAUGCGUUGUUGGGUAGGGGAGCGUUCUGUAAGCCUGCGAAGGUGUGCUGUGAGGCAUGCUGGAGGUAUCAGAAGUGCGAAUGCUGACAUAAGUAACGAUAAAGCGGGUGAAAAGCCCGCUCGCCGGAAGACCAAGGGUUCCUGUCCAACGUUAAUCGGGGCAGGGUGAGUCGACCCCUAAGGCGAGGCCGAAAGGCGUAGUCGAUGGGAAACAGGUUAAUAUUCCUGUACUUGGUGUUACUGCGAAGGGGGGACGGAGAAGGCUAUGUUGGCCGGGCGACGGUUGUCCCGGUUUAAGCGUGUAGGCUGGUUUUCCAGGCAAAUCCGGAAAAUCAAGGCUGAGGCGUGAUGA